Molecule: ribosomal RNA, 449 nt
Filed under: uncultured bacterium
Lineage: Bacteria
Description: partial 16S ribosomal RNA
Rfam family: Bacterial small subunit ribosomal RNA
Source: RNAcentral
UCCCAGACUCCUACGGGAGGCAGCAGUGGGGAAUAUUGGGCAAUGGGCGCAAGCCUGACCCAGCAACGCCGCGUGAAGGAAGAAGGCUUUCGGGUUGUAAACUUCUUUUAAGAGGGAAGAGCAGAGACGGUACCUCUUGAAUAAGCCACGGCUAACUACGUGCCAGCAGCCGCGGUAAUACGUAGGUGGCAAGCGUUGUCCGGAUUUACUGGGUGUAAAGGGCGUGCAGCCGGGCUUACAAGUCAGAUGUGAAAUCCUGCGGCUCAACCGCAGAACUGCAUUUGAAACUGUAGGUCUUGAGUACUGGAGAGGCAGACGGAAUUCCUAGUGUAGCGGUGAAAUGCGUAGAUAUUAGGAGGAACACCAGUGGCGAAGGCGGGCUGCUGGACAGCAACUGACGGUGAGGCGCGAAAGCGUGGGGAGCAAACAGGAUUAGAUACCCGCGUAAC